RNAcentral lists this transfer RNA (85 nucleotides) under Felis catus (domestic cat). It matches the Rfam family "tRNA". From Rfam's summary of the family: Transfer RNA (tRNA) molecules are approximately 80 nucleotides in length. Their secondary structure includes four short double-helical elements and three loops (D, anti-codon, and T loops). Further hydrogen bonds mediate the characteristic L-shaped molecular structure. tRNAs have two regions of fundamental functional importance: the anti-codon, which is responsible for specific mRNA codon recognition, and the 3' end, to which the tRNAs corresponding amino acid is attached (by aminoacyl-tRNA synthetases). tRNAs cope with the degeneracy of the genetic code in two manners: having more than one tRNA (with a specific anti-codon) for a particular amino acid; and 'wobble' base-pairing, i.e. permitting non-standard base-pairing at the 3rd anti-codon position. Lineage: Eukaryota; Metazoa; Chordata; Mammalia; Carnivora; Felidae. The record is from Rfam by way of RNAcentral.
GCCUGGGUGGCUCAGUCGGUUGAGUGUCCGACUUCAGCUCAGGUCACGAUCUCGCGGUCCGUGGGUUCGAGCCCCGCAUCGGGCU